AAUCAAUACAGAGACCAGCAAAAGCAAUGGCGAGUUGCUUUGUGCUAGUAAUUAUAUAAACCACACAAAGCAAGAUAGUUUUCAAGUGCUUGGGAGAAUUCCAAAGAAAUACAGUUACUUUAGAUUCCAACAGACAAAAAAAAAAAUAGCAAUGGAGGUGAAGGAUAUAGUGUUCAUGAACAAAGGAGAUGGAGAAAACAGCUACGUCAAGAGUGCAGGAUUGACGCUAAAAGUGAUAGCCAAAACCCAGCCGAUAGAGCAAAAAGUAGUUCAAUCUCUCUUCACAGGAACUCAUUCAACCCCACUUCAAGUUGUUAACGUGGCUGACCUGGGGUGUGCUUUAGGUCCCCAACCUCUUGAAUCCAUGUCAAUAGUGAGAGAGCAUCGUGGAAAAAUGCGGUGAAUUGGGAUGCGAAAUGCCAGAAAUCCAGUUUCACUUGAAUGGUUUAGCCGGCAACGAUUUCAACACACUGUUCAAAGGGUUAUCCGUCGUUCAAGAGAAAUAUAAGAAUGUUUCAUGGUUUGCUAUGGGUGCUCCUGGUUCCUUCCAUGGCCGGCUUUUCACUCGAAACUCCAUGCAUCUUGCGCAUUCCUGUUACAGCAUACACUGGCUCUCCAAGGCACCAAAAAUCACAAGCGAAGCAGGGUCACCAUUGAACAAGGGGAAGAUCUACAUGUCUAAAACCAGCCCUCCUGCUGUGAGAGAGGCAUAUCUUUCCCAGUUUGAAGAAGACUUCUCUUCAGUCUUGAGAUUCCGAUCUCCAGAGCUGGCACCUGACGGCCGUAUGGUCUUGAUUCUUAAUGGGCGGCAAUCUGCAGAUCCCACAGAGAAAGACAUCUGCUACCUUUGGGAUCUUCUAGCUGAGGCCUUAUCCUACUUGGUUUCAGAGGGAUUGAUUGAUGAAGAGAAAUUAGACUCCUUCAAUGUACCUUACUACAAUCCCUCCCAAGAAGAAGUUGAGCGUGUGAUAGACAAGGAAGGUUCCUUCACAACUGAGUUUAGUGACACGGUUUUGCUGGAGAUUGGAGGUAAGAAUGCAUGGUCCAACCCAGGAUUAAGAAUUAAAGGCUACAGAUGCUUUUCAGAGCCCAUUUUGUCUCACCAGUUCGGAGAAGAAGUGAUGGAUAAGCUAUUUGAUAAGGCCGAAGAGAUUCUAGCUGAAGAUUACAAUCAGGGAAAAGAAGCAACCAAGAACAUCAGCAUUGUUGUUGUGCUGAAAGAGAAAACAAAUCAGACUUGGACUUAAUUUCUGGGUCAUCCAGGAAAUUACAUUGCAGAAAAGAAUAAAAAGUAAUGGGAUAAAUAAUAGUAUGACAUGAAUGUACCUUGAGACUUAGUUUUUCUUGAUACUAAGAUGCCAAGAGGCUUUAUUUUUAAGUA
Theobroma cacao (cacao) is the source of this 1381-nucleotide non-coding RNA. The record is from RefSeq and is a predicted model, not a curated record. NCBI's taxonomy places the organism in Eukaryota, Viridiplantae, Streptophyta, Magnoliopsida, Malvales, Malvaceae.